CAACUGCCUGCAUGAAGCUGGAAUUGCUAGUAAUCGCGGAUCAGCAAGCCGCGGUGAAUACGUUCCCGGGCCUUGUACACACCGCCCGUCACACCAUGAGAGUCGGGAACACCCGAAGUCCGUAGUCUAACCGCAAGGGGGGCGCGGCCGAAGGUGGGUCCGGUAAUUGGGGUGAAGUCGUAACAAGGUAAC
RNAcentral lists this ribosomal RNA (192 nucleotides) under uncultured bacterium. RNAcentral's name for it is "partial 16S ribosomal RNA". It matches the Rfam family "Bacterial small subunit ribosomal RNA", at positions 1308 to 1500 of the family's 1533-position model. The record is from RNAcentral.